Xiphophorus maculatus (southern platyfish) is the source of this 73-nucleotide non-coding RNA. The record is from Rfam. NCBI's taxonomy places the organism in Eukaryota, Metazoa, Chordata, Actinopteri, Cyprinodontiformes, Poeciliidae.
GGGGGCAUAGCUCAGUGGUAGAGCACUUGACAGCAGAUCAAGAGGUCCUCCGGUUCAAAUCUGGAUGUCCCCU